CUGUGAGGUAUGCUGGAGGUAUCAGAAGUGCGAAUGCUGACAUAAGUAACGAUAAAGCGGGUGAAAAGCCCGCUCGCCGGAAGACCAAGGGUUCCUGUCCAACGUUAAUCGGGGCAGGGUGAGUCGACCCCUAAGGCGAGGCCGAAAGGCGUAGUCGAUGGGAAACAGGUUAAUAUUCCUGUACUUGGUGUUACUGCGAAGGGGGGACGGAGAAGGCUAUGUUGGCCGGGCGACGGUUGUCCCGGUUUAAGCGUGUAGGCUGAUUUUCCAGGCAAAUCCGGAAAAUCAAGGCUGAGGCGUGAUGACGAGGCACUACGGUGCUGAAGCAACAAAUGCCCUGCUUCCAGGAAAAGCCUCUAAGCAUCAGGUAACAUCAAAUCGUACCCCAAACCGACACAGGUGGUCAGGUAGAGAAUACCAAGGCGCUUGAGAGAACUCGGGUGAAGGAACUAGGCAAAAUGGUGCCGUAACUUCGGGAGAAGGCACGCUGAUAUGUAGGUGAAGCGACUUGCUCGUGGAGCUGAAAUCAGUCGAAGAUACCAGCUGGCUGCAACUGUUUAUUAAAAACACAGCACUGUGCAAACACGAAAGUGGACGUAUACGGUGUGACGCCUGCCCGGUGCCGGAAGGUUAAUUGAUGGGGUUAGCGGUAACGCGAAGCUCUUGAUCGAAGCCCCGGUAAACGGCGGCCGUAACUAUAACGGUCCUAAGGUAGCGAAAUUCCUUGUCGGGUAAGUUCCGACCUGCACGAAUGGCGUAAUGAUGGCCAGGCUGUCUCCACCCGAGACUCAGUGAAAUUGAACUCGCUGUGAAGAUGCAGUGUACCCGCGGCAAGACGGAAAGACCCCGUGAACCUUUACUAUAGCUUGACACUGAACAUUGAGCCUUGAUGUGUAGGAUAGGUGGGAGGCUUUGAAGUGUGGACGCCAGUCUGCAUGGAGCCGGCCUUGAAAUACCACCCUUUAAUGUUUGAUGUUCUAACGUUGGCCCCUGAUCGGGGUUGCGGACAGUGUCUGGUGGGUAGUUUGACUGGGGCGGUCUCCUCCUAAAGAGUAACGGAGGAGCACGAAGGUUGGCUAAUCCUGGUCGGACAUCAGGAGGUUAGUGCAAUGGCAUAAGCCAGCUUGACUGCGAGCGUGACGGCGCGAGCAGGUGCGAAAGCAGGUCAUAGUGAUCCGGUGGUUCUGAAUGGAAGGGCCAUCGCUCAACGGAUAAAAGGUACUCCGGGGAUAACAGGCUGAUACCGCCCAAGAGUUCAUAUCGACGGCGGUGUUUGGCACCUCGAUGUCGGCUCAUCACAUCCUGGGGCUGAAGUAGGUCCCAAGGGUAUGGCUGUUCGCCAUUUAAAGUGGUACGCGAGCUGGGUUUAGAACGUCGUGAGACAGUUCGGUCCCUAUCUGCCGUGGGCGCUGGAGAACUGAGGGGGGCUGCUCCUAGUACGAGAGGACCGGAGUGGACGCAUCACUGGUGUUCGGGUUGUCAUGCCAAUGGCACUGCCCGGUAGCUAAAUGCGGAAGAGAUAAGUGCUGAAAGCAUCUAAGCACGAAACUUGCCCCGAGAUGAGUUCUCCCUGAGACUUAGAGUCUCCUGAAGGAACGUUGAAGACGACGACGUUGAUAGGCCGGGUGUGUAAGCGCAGCGAUGCGUUGAGCUAACCGGUACUAAUGAACCGUGAGGCUUAACCUU
RNAcentral lists this ribosomal RNA (1686 nucleotides) under Escherichia coli. RNAcentral describes it as "partial 23S ribosomal RNA". It matches the Rfam family "Bacterial large subunit ribosomal RNA", at positions 1261 to 2925 of the family's 2925-position model. Lineage: Bacteria; Pseudomonadati; Pseudomonadota; Gammaproteobacteria; Enterobacterales; Enterobacteriaceae. The record is from RNAcentral.